AGAGAUGUUGAGAGAUCAACCAGGAGACUGUGGGAGGAUGUGAGCUCUCUGAGAAGGAGAAGAAGUAUUUACAUUAGAAGUCUGAUUCACAGGUCGGGGCAAAGUGAAAAACAUCUGCACUUUUAAAAGGUCACAGUGUUUGGACACCGCAUGAACAUGCCAAUUUCCUGUGUUGUAAUAUUUUUAUGCACUUUAAGAAGACCACCAGAAACAGCAGAGUGAGUGAAUGACUGAGGCGCAUAUUGGACAAAAAUCACUUAUCCAAGACCACGUUACUACAACCCCAGGGCACAGAAGCUAAGUCUUCCUAUUGUACUGAACUCAGUUGACUGGAAUUUGUUCAGGAAAGCAUGAAGUCAAAUGGAAGCUAGUCCGUGACUGGAUUCAUCUUUUGGUAAAAAACGAAGAGGAGACCCCAUAUCCUGGAGGUUCUUGCUUAACCCUGUCCCUAAUAAGACCUAACUUUAUGAGUCUUCUCCUUAGAGGCAGUCCUAGGGUAAGAGUGAUUAUUCCUGUGAGCCUUGUAGGUACUUUCGAAUCAAGGAAAUUAGUAGUUGAUUGCUAAUUAAUUCAGUAUUUAAUGAAUUUAAGUACCUAGGCAAUGAGGCCACAAUAGCAAAUAAGACACAGACCUGUUUUCAAAAAGUAGCCUGUAAAUAAGAUAUUUUUUUCUGCCAUGGUGGCAAAGGCAUGACUAUGGUGAUGAACAUUCAUAGGCUCACCUUCUAGCUCUGUUGUAUGUUAACUGUGUGAACUUGGGUCAAGUUAUGAAAACUCUAAGAACUCUCAAAACUCCUGAUCUGUUUUAACAUGAAAGUAAAGAUAUCUAAUUGAAUUGUUGUGAAACUUAAAUGUAAUGUGACAUCCAAAGAAUGUAGCCCAAAGUUGGAUUUCAGUAAGUGAUAAAUAGAAGUAUUUAAACAUGGGUAUGGUAUGUUCUGUAACAGAAGAAUGUCUAUGUGCUGGGGAUACCUAGAGACAGUGAAAAUUCUGUCUGGCCUGCGAAUUAUAAUAAAAUGACUCUUUAAAGUCAA
This 1034-nucleotide long non-coding RNA is filed under the name Homo sapiens (human). Its description in RNAcentral is "long independently transcribed non-coding RNA 1811, transcript variant 7 (LINC01811)". The record is from RNAcentral. Lineage: Eukaryota; Metazoa; Chordata; Mammalia; Primates; Hominidae.